UUGGAGGGCAAGUCUGGUGCCAGCAGCCGCGGUAAUUCCAGCUCCAAUAGCGUAUAUUAAAGUUGUUGCAGUUAAAAAGCUCGUAGUUGAAUUUCGGGGUUAGUAGGUUGGUCAUGCCUCUGGUAUGUACUGGUCUCACUUAUUCCUCCUUCCUGAUGAGCCGUAAUGCCAUUAAUUUGGUGUUGCGGGGAAUUUGGACUGUUACUUUGAAAAAAUUAGAGUGUUUAAAGCAAGCUAACGCUUGAAUACAUUAGCAUGGAAUAAUGAAAUAGGACGUUCGAUCCUAUUUUGUUGGUUUCUAGGAUUGACGUAAUGAUUAAUAGGGAUAGUUGGGGGCAUUAGUAUACAAUUGUCAGAGGUGAAAUUCUUGGAUUUAUUGAAGACUAACUACUGCGAAAGCAUUUGCCAAGGAUGUUUUCAUUAAUCAAGAACGAAAGUUAGGGGAUCGAAGACGAUCAGAUACCGUCGUAGUCUUAACCAUAAACUAUGCCGACUAGGGAUCGGAUGAUGUUAAUUUUUUAAUGACACAUCCGGCGCCUUACGGGAAACCAAAGUGUUUGGGUUC
This 565-nucleotide ribosomal RNA is filed under the name uncultured Glomeromycotina. Its description in RNAcentral is "SSU rRNA". It matches the Rfam family "Eukaryotic small subunit ribosomal RNA", at positions 548 to 1114 of the family's 1831-position model. The record is from RNAcentral. Lineage: Eukaryota; Fungi; Glomeromycota.